UACGUAGGGGGCUAGCGUUGUCCGGAUUUAUUGGGCGUAAAGAGCGUGUAGGCGGCCAGGUAGGUCUGCUGUGAAAACUCGAGGCUCAACCUCGAGACGUCGGCGGAAACCAUCUGGCUAGAGUCCGGAAGAGGAGAGUGGAAUUCCUGGUGUAGCGGUGAAAUGCGCAGAUAUCAGGAGGAACACCUAUGGCGAAGGCAGCUCGCUGGGACGUUACUGACGCUGAGACGCGAAAGCGUGGGGAGCAAACAGG
Molecule: ribosomal RNA, 253 nt
Filed under: uncultured bacterium
Lineage: Bacteria
Description: partial 16S ribosomal RNA
Rfam family: Bacterial small subunit ribosomal RNA
Source: RNAcentral